GACUGGCACUGCGACACUGGGCCAGACUCCUACGGGAUGCAGCAGUAAGGAAUAUUGCACAAUGGACGAAAGUCAGACGCAGCGACGCCGCGUGGGCGAUGAAGGCCUUCGGGUCUGUAAAGCCCUUUUAUGCGUGGGAAGAGAAAAAGGACGGUACCCCAUGAAUAAGUCCCGGCUAACUACGUGCCAGCAGCCGCGGUAAAACGUACGGGACAAGCGUUAUCCGGAUUCACUGGGCGUAAAGAGCGUUGAGGCGGUUCCGUAAGUUGGGCGUGAAAGCUCCGGGCUUAACCCGGAGAUGUCGUUCAAUACUGCGGGGCUUGAGGACAGCAGAGGAAGGUGGAAUUCCCGGUGUAGUGGUGACAUGCGUAGAUAUCGGGAGGAACACCCGUGGCGAAGUGCGGCCUUCUGGGCUGUUCCUGACGCUGAAGGCGAAAGCUAAGGGAGCGAACGGGAUUCGAUACCCCGGUCAAGUCCUAGCUGUAACCGAUGAAUGCUGGAUUUGGGGGUUGUAAAUUCCCUCUGUGCCGAAGCAAACGCGUUAAGCAUCCCGCUUGGGGACUACGGCCGCAAGGUUAAAACUCAGACGAAUUGACGGGGGCCCGCACAAGCAGCGGAGCGUGUGGUUUAAUUAGA
This 636-nucleotide ribosomal RNA is filed under the name uncultured organism. RNAcentral's name for it is "bacterial SSU rRNA". It matches the Rfam family "Bacterial small subunit ribosomal RNA", at positions 311 to 954 of the family's 1533-position model. The record is from RNAcentral.